RNAcentral lists this long non-coding RNA (1681 nucleotides) under Limulus polyphemus (Atlantic horseshoe crab). RNAcentral describes it as "uncharacterized LOC111084919". The record is from RNAcentral. Lineage: Eukaryota; Metazoa; Arthropoda; Merostomata; Xiphosura; Limulidae.
GUAGAUAUAAACCGUAGUGGUAGACCGAAAAAUAAUUUAUAUGCUAACAGAUAGUUUUACUAUAUUUUCAGUGUUUUGUGUAGACGAUGUUCGUGUGUAAAUGUGUUAUUAUUAACUGUCCUACUUUACAACUUGAAACCCUGAGGCACUUUGUGAAAUAAUUACUGUCCAUUCACAUGAACUAUUGUAUAGUCGAUGUAACCGAUAACAGUUCCUUCCCUAGCAAUUACAAGGCAGGAGAUGGUGCCACUGCAAACCGUGCGCGUGCAGGCUCUUUGCGUGGCUCGUGGGCUCGUUCUGCCAGUAACAGACUUGUGCUUUUUCUCAAGAUUCGUGAAUUGUCGCCCCAGGGAGAAACCCAAACUGUCGUAUUCGUCAUUGUGUUUUUAGCAAACUUUGUCCUGUUUUCCAGACGAACGAGCAGACAUUCACAAAAGAUCUUAACGUUUGUACAACGUUUUAAGCCGACAUAUUUAUUGUCACCAGCAUAUCAGAUAAACAAAAAUCCGAAGAAGAAGAAUAAAAUAGUCAUGGAUCAAGGGACGGCUAGAGUACACUAAUAAAGACCACCACCUGCGUAGAUAAAGUGUUAUACUUCCCAUUUAUGAUGAAGCCUACUGAAAUAACGAAACAGAGGUGUCGCUAGGAACGUGCCCCGAAUUGCCAGUUGGUGUCUUGAAUAAAUCAGAAUAGAAAAAUCAUGAUCGAAUUCAUAUUGAAACGCCAAAACUUCCUGCGCUUAUGGGCCCGAGUCCCGAAUCUUUUAAGCACCUAGCGACGACUCUGCCUACAAAACAUGUAUAUACUAUUAAUUCUUAAAUCAGUGGUAAUGCUUAUAAUGCUAAAACUUGAUGUUCUAUGUAGCAGAGAUCCUAUUGCACUUUAACUUAUUCUCUGAAAAUGAUAAUACUUAUAGGUAGGAACGUCACAAUGAUCGAUACUUUUAGUACUGUUUGUUUGUUUGUAAUUAAACACAAAGCUACACAAUGGGCUAUCUGUGCUCUGCUCAUCACGGGUAUCGAAAUCCGGAUUCUAGCGUUGUAAGUCCGCAGACCAACCGCUGUGCCACUGGAGGCUACUUUUAGUAGAUUUGAAAUAUGUUCAAGAAGAAAUUUUAAUAUGCUGUAGACAAAUAUUCAACUUAUUAAUAAUUUUAAAAGAAUUAUAAUAUUAAAUGCAUUGACCAUUAUUACACGCUAAAUAUCGCGUCGAUAACUUCUAGUAAUUCAAUCACUAAUAUAACAUUUUCUUUGCAAAGUUUACAGUACCAAUACAUUAUUUAGUAGUUGUUUAUACGUGGGAAGUAACAUGUAAUUUCAGAUAUGUGACUGAUUAUACGCUUUCAAAGCACGAGAAUGGCAAGUUAAUCCUGCUGUUAGUUCAAACUUUUGUCGAAUUAUAAGAACAACAUGUGGAUGACAUUCUGUAAAAUUCAUUGAAGUGCCUAUGGUUCCAGAAUUUUCGGACACUGUUAAAUUUUAAUUCAACAACACAUUGACCAACCCAGAAAAGCAAUUUUGUUUUUAUAAUCAAACCAAAAUUGUUGUCACCAUAAAUCAACAGGUAAAGACAAUUCUUUGUUAACAAAAUAUUGGUUCAUUCUUCUAAUAGCUUCGAAUACUGCCAUAUAUAAACUAAGUUGACUGGACUCAAAUUCUCAUUUUCCCAUCAGUUCCAAUUG